AACGAACGCUGGCGGCAGGCUUAACACAUGCAAGUCGAGCGCCCCGCCAGGGGAGCGGCAGACGGGUGAGUAACGCGUGGGAACGUACCUUUUGGUUCGGAACAACUCCGGGACACUGGAGCUAAUACCGGAUAAGCCCUAACGGGGAAAGAUUUAUCGCCGAAAGAUCGGCCCGCGUCUGAUUAGCUAGUUGGUGAGGCAACGGCUCACCAAGGCGACGAUCAGUAGCUGGUCUGAGAGGAUGAUCAGCCACACUGGGACUGAGACACGGCCCAGACUCCUACGGGAGGCAGCAGUGGGGAAUAUUGGACAAUGGGCGCAAGCCUGAUCCAGCCAUGCCGCGUGAGUGAUGAAGGCCUUAGGGUUGUAAAGCUCUUUUGUCCGGGAAGAUAAUGACUGUACCGGAAGAAUAAGCCCCGGCUAACUUCGUG
Molecule: ribosomal RNA, 431 nt
Filed under: uncultured bacterium
Lineage: Bacteria
Description: partial 16S ribosomal RNA
Rfam family: Bacterial small subunit ribosomal RNA
Source: RNAcentral